Long non-coding RNA from Neltuma alba, 1199 nucleotides. RefSeq lists it as uncharacterized. The record is from RefSeq and is a predicted model, not a curated record. Lineage: Eukaryota; Viridiplantae; Streptophyta; Magnoliopsida; Fabales; Fabaceae. The transcript is spliced from 3 exons.
UUCUCUCAUAUACUUCGCCCUUUGUUGAAACUCUACUCUUUCUUCACCUGACCUUCGCCAAAGUAGCCAUUCACCAUUUCCCUCAAGUUACGGCAGUUGAUUAUUGAUGGAGAUGUCCGCGGUCGAAGCGGAGAAAAAGGCUAAGGAAGAGAAGGAGGUGGCGAAAGGGGGUGAGCUAUUGCUCCGGGGUGCUACGUGUUGGGAUAUCAUUGGCCGUCGCAAUGGCUCUCUCGCAAGGUAAGGUAACUUGGCCUCUCCAACUCGGCUUCGCCCUCUCGUCCGGGUCGGUAUUCGAUUCAUUGCCUCUGAUUGUGUGUAGCAUCUUGUCAUUGCGUGGCCUUGGAUGUCGAAGGGCGUUGCUAUACCUGGAGACGAUAUAUGUUCAUGAAAGUCAGUCAAUUACCUGCAUUUUUAUUUGCUGUGCCACUAACUCGUGAGAUUUUUUUGCACAGAAGCGGCAACUGUUGUGUCUGCCCUUUCUAGGCGAGUUGUGGCUUUUAUCAACUAGUGCGGUGCUUGUCCUAGCCACAUUCAAUUUAGAAGUCGCUUUUACAUUUUUUCCUGCUAGGUUUUUAUGGUAAUUUCUCGCAGUUCUAAAGUUAACUGAUUUUUAUAUUGAAGAUACAAAAUUAUCAAAGCAGGAGCUAGGAGAAGCCUCGCUGUGGUUGUCAUUUGAUGAUGGACACUCCCUUGCCCUCGCUUCAGGUUCAGUAGUGCAAAUUUUAUGAGAAUAACUUUUUUCUUGGGAGGCUAGUGUAAUCGAUGAUUUUCUUCUUAAAAGUAGGCUUUGUUCAAUGCAAGUGAAGGCCGGAAGGGUUAGUAACAUUACAUACUAUGUAAUCAUGUUUGAGUCAUCUGUCGUCCCGGAAGGUUGUCUUUGGUUGUAAAAUAUGUACCAUCCGAUCCAGAGGUCAUGCUAGUGCUCUGUGUCGUAGAAAGUGGCGGGUUAUCGAUGGUCUCACUAUAGCUGUUGUAUCAAUAAUAAAUACCAUUUGUUAGAAGGUAAAACACCAUUUAGCGGGCAAUGUGACAAGCUAGAACAGUCAUUUAACCUCUUAUUCAAAUCAAGGCCAUGCUUGGUCAAUUAACUGGCAGUGGUGAAUUUUCUGUUUCGAUACAUAAAAUGCUUGCUUCCUUGUGUUACAAAUUGUUGCGUCUACUUCUCUUUUUUUGAGUGAAAAGAGGAAUUAUAUUAAUAA